Long non-coding RNA from Micropterus salmoides (largemouth bass), 231 nucleotides. RefSeq lists it as uncharacterized. The transcript has 2 exons. Lineage: Eukaryota; Metazoa; Chordata; Actinopteri; Centrarchiformes; Centrarchidae. The record is from RefSeq and is a predicted model, not a curated record.
CGGGGCAGAAAAGUCUAUAGACCAAUCAAAAAUGGCGUUGUUUUGACAGAAAGGGAAGUUUAUAGGUUGUAAAUGAAGGUUAAAAAUCUACUUUAAUCGCCGUUUGGAGGCAAGAUAUCAAACUUAAAACUAAGAAAAUCAGAGUCAAGGGAAAACUGUGAAGCCGAAACGCCGUCAACCAGUCGUGAAAAUUGAUCCUGUCAGGCGAUCGCUGAAAGUUUUUUUUUUUUU